This 381-nucleotide ribosomal RNA is filed under the name uncultured marine Chaetocerotaceae. Its description in RNAcentral is "SSU rRNA". It matches the Rfam family "Eukaryotic small subunit ribosomal RNA", at positions 587 to 972 of the family's 1831-position model. The record is from RNAcentral. Lineage: Eukaryota; Bacillariophyta; Thalassiosirophyceae; Chaetocerotales; Chaetocerotaceae.
AGCUCCAAUAGCGUAUAUUAAAGUUGCUGCAGUUAAAAAGCUCGUAGUUGCAUUUCCGAGGCAAGGGAUUAGUCCGACCUUUGGUGGGUAUUUAAUCCUCUUGCCUCGUCCUUGAGUGGUGCUUCUUGGUAUUAAGUUAUCGAGGAGAUAGCCGCUCAUCGUUUACUGUGAGAAAAUUAGAGUGUUCAAAGCAGGCUUAUGCCGUUGAAUAUAUUAGCAUGGAAUAAUAAGAUAGGACCUCGGUACUAUUUUGUUGGUUUGAGAACCAAGGUAAUGAUGAAUAGGGACAGUUGGGGGUAUUCGUAUUCAGUUGUCAGAGGUGAAAUUCUUAGAUUUACGGAAGACGAACUACUGCGAAAGCAUUUGCCAAGAAUGUCUUCA